Molecule: long non-coding RNA, 1594 nt
Filed under: Homo sapiens (human)
Lineage: Eukaryota; Metazoa; Chordata; Mammalia; Primates; Hominidae
Description: non-protein coding WDFY3-AS2:6
Source: RNAcentral
CUCUUUCCUUACUUCCUUCCCUUCCCUCGGCUUCCCGCUCUUGCCUCACUCUCAGCGGCUGCCUUCGCCCCUGUCUGCAGACAGCGCCGCUGGAUGCUCCCAGCUGGACUUCAACCCCACUCCUCUCAGUCCCUCUCCCCACUGCCUUCCAGACGCGCCUCUUCCCCGCCCCGCGCCCCUCUCUCCUCUCCCACCCCUGCCCCUCUCCGCGGCGCUCACCCUCCUCAGUCCCAGUUUCUGAAAGGACUCAGCUGAGAAAGGACAACUGGGUUCCGCUUUCCUUAACCCUACACCCUUUAGCUGGAUGCUGUCAGAGGCGAUGGAGAAACGCAAAGGCUACUAGACGCAACAAUAGAAUUACCAUAUUGUUUUUCCUGGUUUGAAAGGACCAGAUGGAAAGAAACUGGGCAAGCCAAUGAAAGUCUCUGGGGAUCAUGGGAAUUGAGUGUCUAUGAAAACCAUAUUCCAGACAAGAAUAUAGUCUAAGGACACAGCAAGAGGCAACAUUUUGGAAGCAGAGGGCAACUCUCACUGGAAACCAAAUCUCCUGGCACCUUGAUCUUGGAUUUUACAGCCUCCAGAACUGAUAGCUGGGAGGCAUUACAUAGUCAUGUGCGAGGUCAAAACUGAGUCACCACCACAACCAAGUUCCAGCUGGCAAGAAGAGGAAAAAUAACACAGAGGAGUUAUGACCAGUGUUGUAAGGAUCUGGCCUAGAAAUGGCAUGCAUCUCUUCCACUAAUAUCCUAUUGGUAAAAAUGUAGUCACAUGGGCACACCACCUAUCUGCAUGGAAGGCUGGGAAAUGUUGAUCGGUAGGGCAGCCAUAUGUGUAGGAAGGAGAAAACAGAAUUUGGUGGAUACCUAGUAGUCUCUGCCAUACCCUUGACCAGAAAUUUUUCUUCUAAAGAAUUUAAUUCUAAAAGUUAUAGACAUUCCCAAAGAUAUACCUGCAAGCAUCACAGCUUUGUGUAUAAUUGCAAAAGUUGAAAUCAACAUGAAUGCCCAAAAUAGUGAAUUAUUUAAACAGAUUAUUACCCAUAUUAUGAAGAAAUACUCUGCAACUCUUAAAAAUAAAUGUAAUGUGCCAGGCGCAAUGGGAUAUGCCUGCAGGCCCAGCUACACGGGAGGCCAAGGCAGGAGGAUCACUUGAAAUCAAGAGUUCAAGUCUAGCCUAGACAACAUAGUGAGACUUGGUCUCUAAAAAAGAAAAAAAAAAAUAAAACUGAUGUAAUGAAUAUAUAAUUACAACAAAAGAGGUCUAACACUAUAGUAGAAAAGUUUGGGGCACUCAUCCCAUUCAUAAUUAUUUUACAUUUAAAUUACUGUUCCUACUUAAGUGGUGAGCUUGGUAACCAUUUUCAUAUCAGGUGAUACUGCUGCAGUAAUCAUAGCUGUUUGAAUCAGGAAUAAUCCCAAUCACAUUUUCUCUUAAUCGUUUAUUAUACUGGGCAUUGGGGUUGCAAGAUAAUGCACAGUCCGAGCUCAAUACAUGUCUUCAUGUACCUGUAUGUAAAUCCCACUUUUAUUCUAAAAUUCUUUGAAUAUUUUGUUUCUUGGAACCCAAUGAUCCUAAGAAAAUUAUGUACUUUUAC